GGGAAUAAUUGGAUUGCCAAAAAUAUCCAUGGUUGAAUUUGAUAAUAUGACAAAUUGCCCUCUAUUUUGAUCGACUUAAAAAUAAUAUAAAAAUUUAUUAUUUAAAAGUCUUUAAUUUGAUUGAUAAAAUUUGUUUUCUAUUUAAAUUCAAAUUGCCAAAAAAUAAUAUAGAAAUUUAUUAUUUAUCUAUAAUAUAUAUGAAAGUGGGAAGGGGGAUCUUGACAAAUUGCCUUCUAUUUUGAUUGGCUUAAAAAUAAUAUAAAAAAAUUUAUUAUUGUUUAAAAGUCUUUAAUUUGAGUGGUAAAAUUGAUUUUGUAUUUAAAUUCAAAUCGCUAGAAAAUGAUAUGGAAAUUUAUUAUUAUUUAAAAAUCAUUUAUUUGAUUGUUUAAGCUGAUUUUCUAUAUUCUAUUUUAUUAAGGCAUAUAAUUCUAUUAAGAAUUUUUUUUAAUUUAAUUAAAAAUUAAAUUAGUUAAUAUAUUUUAAUGAAUUUAUAGGUUAUAAAUGAAUGCGUACAGGGUACUAUGUUAAUAAAACUCUAGGGAAAAGGAUGGGAAUAUAUAGAAAUUGGAAAACAUGCUAUAUGGAAAUUGGGCAGCAAUGCUUCUGCCCUAUAAUAAUCUAAUCGAGAGAUAUAUCUUUUAUAUUUCAUAGUACAAGUAAUUUUUAGUCAAUAUCAGAGUAGUUAAGGAAAUUUUUAAAAAAUGCAUAAGCUUGAUUAGUAAUAUUAUUAAAAUUUAAGUUUAGAAAACAUAAAAGACUUUAUUUCUUUUAUAAAUUUUUAAAUUUUGAAAAAAAUGAAAUUCUUCAAUUGAUUUAUAGUAGUAAAUUAUUUAUGCAAUAUUUUGAUAUUUCUUGAAUAAAUAGUAGUAAUCUCAUUAAUUUUCUUGUAUUAUUAUUAAGUAUUUAUCUUAGUUGUUAGUCUAAUAUAGUUGAGAUGUUUUUGAGCUUUAUUCAUCAAAUGGGUAAAUACUUAAAUUAAGUUAAAGAAAAGGUUAAAUUGUUUAGAUUUAAUUCCUUAUCCUAGGACUGAGAUUGGGAACUUUGAUUGUUAGCUUAGAUUGUAAACUUACAUACCAAGAAAUAAGAUUGUAAACUUACCAUUUAAUUUAUGAGAAUCAAUUUGAAGAGUUAAUUUCAUGGUUAUUUAUUUUUCUUAAAUUUUAUAUUGCCAAAAUCUAAAUUUAUACUUAGUAAAUAUUAUUAAAGUUUAAAACUUUCUUUGAUAUUAUUUUCUAAUUAUUUAUGUAUUUACCUAAAAAUAUUCAAAAAAAACUAAAAAUUAGAAAAAAUAAAUAACACAUCCUUCCGUCUCCUUUACUUCAAAACUAAUUUGUCUAUUUGAUGAUCCAUGCUCGUAAGCUAAAAAAUUUGUAAGGAAAUGAAUGAUUUCACCUGAGUUGGUUGUAGAGAAAAUUUAAAGAAAGUUGAGAGAAAAUGGCUUAAUUACUUAGAGAGAAUGACAAAGGUGCUAAAAUAAAUGAGUCAAUAUAGUUUUUUUGCCCAAAAAAGGUUCCCUAAUGCAUUUCACAUGAAAGAGGUCCAAAAAAAAAAACAUCAAGAAUUUUUAAUUAGAAAAGUAACAGCCGUUACGAACGUUACCUUUAAAAAACAGUCAUAACUAUAUUUACAAUUACAAAUUUAGAAACCCGUUAAACAAAGGUAGAAACGUUAAUGGUAAGUCAAAAAACCUUUAAAUAACAGCCGUCACAUAAUGGCCGUUACAUAAAACCAUGCCACAACCUAAUAAACGAUGUUACCUAAAAUAUCAACAUUUAUUUCUUCCUCAAAUUUUACUUCUUAGCUCAAACUUUAUGAAAAAAAAAAUUGAUCACCUAUACAGAAAACAACAAAGCUUCUAUAAAUAAAUUGAAAUGCUAUAUGAAAAAUCCAAGUAACGAAUAACAUCAACAAUGCUGAGCUAAGCUACAAAACCAAUAAAAUAGAAUCCAAUAGGGUAGAGGUGUAGCUAUAUUAAAGGGCUUUUAGAGAUUUGUAAAAUUACAUAUAUAUCCUUGAAAGUGCCCCCUUGGCCCCACGCUGGCUCCAUCUCCGAGGGAGCUGGAUUUCCAAGGGAUUGUAUCAAAGGCUCAAGGUCUAUAUUCGAAAUUGAGGGUCAUGCCUUCCCCACCAACACUAUCAUAAAUCAUAAUCAUCAUCUUCAGCAGCAAGGGGUGUGUAUGGCAGCUAGGUGCCAUAUUUAUUCUGCUAAGUACGACUAGACAAAAACCUGAUAGCUGAAAAAUAACCAAAUUGACUAACACAUCAUAUAACACCAUGAAUCCAUGAUCAAUUCAAAUACACAGGAAACAGGAAGCAUUCAGAAAUGAAAGAACGAGAUAAACAAAGCCAUCCAUCUCCAAACAUUAACAAUUGCCUCUGCAACUAUACUCAAAAUAUGAUUCAAUUGUUGAAGCUAAAAACAUGAACAUAGAAGUGAAGCACAAGAACUAGAAAUUUGAGUAUGCUAUAUUGUCCAUAACAAUAACUGGAUACGCACACCCAUCAACACAUGAAUGAACUACCGUACAUAUUUGUUGGAAUUGAUGAGAUUUUAGUGGGUAAAAAUCCAACAAUAUUUCAACAUAUCACUGAUUAAAAUUGGGACAAGCAUAACUUCACAAAAUAAAAACUUGAUUCAACCAAGCUUCAAUCUAACUAUAUAAACUGAAAAAAAAAAACCUUGUAAUUUGGCAAACCGCUAAAUUGAGAAGAAGCAAACAAAAAAUCAUCAAAAGCGACAUAACUCCACCAAUCCUAAAGAAACUGAAAAUUCAGGUAACCUUCAAAUAUUUGAUAGACUGCAAGAAUCGUACCUGAAUGAUGAUCGGGAAUAUGAAGGGUACAGCGUGCAGAACCUCUAAAAUACCAGCAGCACGACCAGAAUCUUUGUAUUUCUCUUAGAAGAAAAACAUUUGCACUUCAA
RNAcentral lists this unclassified non-coding RNA (2923 nucleotides) under Hevea brasiliensis (rubber tree). The record is from RNAcentral. Lineage: Eukaryota; Viridiplantae; Streptophyta; Magnoliopsida; Malpighiales; Euphorbiaceae.